This 364-nucleotide ribosomal RNA is filed under the name uncultured bacterium. RNAcentral's name for it is "bacterial SSU rRNA". It matches the Rfam family "Bacterial small subunit ribosomal RNA", at positions 537 to 896 of the family's 1533-position model. The record is from RNAcentral.
AGCGUUAUCCGGAUUUAUUGGGCGUAAAGCGUUAAAAGGCGGUUCGGAAAGUACCUGGUCAAAUUCUGCGGCUUAACCGUAGAACUGCCGGGUAAACUUCCAAACUUGAGGUCGGAAGAGGCAAGCGGAACUACCGGUGUAGUGGUAAAAUGCGUUCAUAUCGGUAGGAACACCAAAGGCGAAGGCAGCUUGCUGGUACGAAUCUGACGCUAAAUAACGAAAGCGUGGGGAGCGAAUGGGAUUAGAUACCCCAGUAGUCCACGCCCUAAACGAUGAAUACUAGGGAUUGGGAGUUUCGACCCUCUCAGUCUCGUUCAAGCUAACGCGUUAAGUAUUCCGCCUGGGAAGUACGGCCGCAAGGCUA